Molecule: ribosomal RNA, 497 nt
Filed under: uncultured bacterium
Lineage: Bacteria
Description: partial 16S ribosomal RNA
Rfam family: Bacterial small subunit ribosomal RNA
Source: RNAcentral
GAUGAACGCUGGCGGCGUGCCUAAUACAUGCAAGUCGAGCGAACAGACGAGGAGCUUGCUCCUCUGACGUUAGCGGCGGACGGGUGAGUAACACGUGGAUAACCUACCUAUAAGACUGGGAUAACUUCGGGAAACCGGAGCUAAUACCGGAUAAUAUAUUGAACCGCAUGGUUCAAUAGUGAAAGACGGUUUUGCUGUCACUUAUAGAUGGAUCCGCGCCGCAUUAGCUAGUUGGUAAGGUAACGGCUUACCAAGGCAACGAUGCGUAGCCGACCUGAGAGGGUGGGCGGCCACAGUGAGAGGGAGACAGGGUAAAGACACAACGGGGGGGAAGAGGAGGGGAUUCUCCCGAAAGGGGGGAGGGCCGGAGGGAGCACCGGGGGGGGAGGGAGAAGGGUGUUGGGAUCAAAAAACUGUUUUAUUAGGGAAAAAAAAAUGUGAAAGUAACUAUGCACGUCUGGCGGGUACCUAACAAGAACGCCAGGGAAAACAACGGC